Long non-coding RNA from Cyprinus carpio (common carp), 1846 nucleotides. RefSeq lists it as uncharacterized. NCBI's taxonomy places the organism in Eukaryota, Metazoa, Chordata, Actinopteri, Cypriniformes, Cyprinidae. The transcript is spliced from 4 exons. The record is from RefSeq and is a predicted model, not a curated record.
UACAGUUUUAUACCAUCGUGCUGAUAACGUUUCUUUAGUCCUUCGGCAAUCCUACAGCCUGAACCACUGUAGGGAAACCACCCUUACAAACAAGAGGGGAACAAAACUAUUUAAUAUUUUACAGGUCCCACCUAUAGAACAAGUAUGAAUGAAGAAUUAAGGUAAUGUUGGAUAUUUAGAUCAGUAAAGAAUUUUAAUCCAUGAAUAAGACAGUGUAAAUAUGAAGGGACCGUCAAGAGAAGAAAAAGAGAUAAAAAUGAGGAUAAAUGUAAAAAUGUAGAAAAGAUAAAACAAAAUGUAGAAGAAUGGAUAAAAAUAAAUGGAAUGCUAUUUCAAGAAGCGAAAUGUAUUCUAUUAACAACAGUUAGAAAUUGAUUAGUAGGAUCGAGAAAGACAGGAUACGCAGAAGAAACCAAAAUUAGUCUGGAAUUAAAUAAAACCGUUCCAUGGAUAUGGAAAGGAAUGGCUUUGCCUAGGGUUAAAUUCAAUUUUAAAUUUGGUUACUGGGAGAUAGAUACUUUUAAAUGGGAAACUGAUGUAUAUUUAAUUCAAAUGGUAUAUUUAAUUCAAAUAAAGCAUGAAAAAUGGAAAAUGAAAUAAAAAAUUACUACGAAAAUAAGGUAAAACAAAUGGAUGAAUGUGUUAGAAAAGAAAUUAGUAAAAUAAAUCAUGAACAAAAAUAUAAAUAUGUAAAGACUGAUAAUAAUGAUUUUUCUUAUGCUAAUUUUUAUGACCAAAAAGAGGAAAUGGACUGUGAUGAUUUUUGCAAUGGUAAAGAUCCAUUCACAGGAAAUAAAACAGGAAAUGAAAACUUAAGUAUAAAAAGGAAGUUGUACUUAAAGAGAUUAAACAUUUACCAAAGAAAAGACAAGGAAGACAUCUAUAGAAGUAAUUUUGUUUUCUUUAGUGAUGCCCUUUUUGGACUAACGGGAAAUGAAUGUGGAAGUAUUAUUGAAAAAUGUUCCGAAGGACAUGAUCAAAUUACUAUCAAUCAGAUAGCAUCAGUUUUAUGUUAUUGGAGCGAGGUGAUAGUUCCAUUACCUUGGACUUUUAAGAGAAGUAAACUGGCUAAUAAAUAUGAAAUGAGUUAUGGAGCCGGAGGAGUGAUAAGAAUUAUAGAUAGAAAUCUUAAAUGGAAAAUGUUUCAUGGACCGGUUUAUAUAGCAAUGAAUAGUUUAUUAAGGUAAAGGGUUUCAAAAGGAGGGGAAAAUGUACCAUUAAUGAGAUUAGAUGCUAUAGCAAUUGAUGAUUUAUCACUAACGAUUGAAAGAAAGAACUGGAAAGAAAACUGGUGUAAAGCAAAUUAUAGGAAUUAUUAUUUGGGUUUAAACUGGUUGAACAAUGAUAUUUGCAAUAUUAGUAUAGAAAUUAAAGUUCAGAAAAUAAAAGGAGGACCAAGAUGGUUCGAAGCUCCUGAGGAAUUUGUGAAACAAGGAGUAGAAGGUAUGCGGAAAGCAGCUAAAGCUGUGUUUAACUUUGUUACAAGAGACAUAUGGCUUGGAUUGAUUAAUUAUCUUAUUAGGAUUGGUUGGUAUAUUUUAUAUGGAGGAUUAAUUCUAUUACACAGCAAAAAAUCCAGAGUGAGUACAUGUGAGACGAGACAGGUGUAACUGCAGCCUGGAGCAAUGGGCGUGCCGAAAGACAAGAGAAGGUGGCGGCGAUAAGACGUGAGACAUACUGUAUGUACAGUGAGACAAAACGAUGACCGCAUCUGCAUCGAAGCUCUCAGAGCUGAUAGUUUGUAUCGGCGUCCUUUUUGUGCAAUACAGUACAGAAUACAUCCUGUAUCCAACUAAUGCAGAGUAUAUUCAAGUUGCCAACACACUGGUUGUGAAGUAUCCUUUCC